Molecule: ribosomal RNA, 207 nt
Filed under: uncultured bacterium
Lineage: Bacteria
Description: partial 16S ribosomal RNA
Rfam family: Bacterial small subunit ribosomal RNA
Source: RNAcentral
CUCGUAGGCGGUUCGUCGCGUCCGGUGUGAAAGUCCAUCGCUUAACGGUGGAUCCGCGCCGGGUACGGGCGGGCUUGAGUGCGGUAGGGGAGACUGGAAUUCCCGGUGUAACGGUGGAAUGUGUAGAUAUCGGGAAGAACACCAAUGGCGAAGGCAGGUCUCUGGGCCGUCACUGACGCUGAAGUGCGAAAGCUAGGGGAGCAAACA